Molecule: ribosomal RNA, 466 nt
Filed under: uncultured bacterium
Lineage: Bacteria
Description: partial 16S ribosomal RNA
Rfam family: Bacterial small subunit ribosomal RNA
Source: RNAcentral
GACGAACGCUGGCGGCGUGCUUAACACAUGCCAGUCGAACGGAAAGGCCCUGCUUUUGUGGGGUGCUCGAGUGGCGAACGGGUGAGUAACACGUGAGUAACCUGCCCUUGACUUUGGGAUAACUUCAGGAAACUGGGGCUAAUACCGGAUAGGAGCUCCUGCUGCAUGGUGGGGGUUGGAAAGUUUCGGCGGUUGGGGAUGGACUCGCGGCUUAUCAGCUUGUUGGUGGGGUAGUGGCUUACCAAGGCUUUGACGGGUAGCCGGCCUGAGAGGGUGACCGGCCACAUUGGGACUGGGAUACGGCCCAGACUCCUACGGGAGGCAGCAGUGGGGAAUAUUGCACAAUGGGCGGAAGCCUGAUGCAGCAACGCCGCGUGCGGGAUGACGGCCUUCGGGUUGUAAACCGCUUUCGCCUGGGACGAAGCGUGAGUGACGGUAAUGGGUAAAGAAGCACCGGCUAACUACG